AUGGAGACAUUAAGGCUCGGAGGCUUCCUUCCGCCUUGUACUUCAGGUCCUGCUAACUAUGUGGACAGGGCAGCCUGCCUUCCUCCUCCUCAAGACGUCACUCUGAGGGCCUCUGUUCACAGCCCCCACCCCCACAGGAGGGACAGGACAAUGCACAGUAAAGAGCACCUUGUUCAUAGUUUCCAAAUAUUCUACACUCAACAGCUACUACUUUUGUAUGGAGGGGAAAUCACAGUAAAGGAGGUGGUGGCAUAUCCAGUUAAACAUACCAACCAUUACUCCCAGCGCUUUCUCUGGCUUGAGCCCAGGAAUUCGAGGCUGCACUGAGCUGUGAUUAUCCCACUCCACUCCAGCUUGGGUGACUAAGUAGAAUCCUAUCUCAAAAAAAAAAAAAGAAAGAAAGAAAAUAAAAAUUAUAAAGGGCUGGGGGCAGUGGCUCACGCCUGUAAUCCCAGCACUUUGGGAGGCUGAGGCUAGUGGAUCACCUGAGGUCAAGAGUUCAAAACUAGCCUGGCCAACAUGGUGAAAGAGUCUGUACUAAAAUUACAAAAAGUAGCCAAGUGUGGUGGUGCAUGCCUGUAAUCCCAGCUACUUGGGAGGCUGAGGGACAAGAAUUGCUUGAACCAGGGAGGUGGAGGUUGCAGUGAGCUGAGAUCCUGCGUGACGGGAGCAAAACUCCAUCAUUUUGGGAGGAUGAGGCAGGCAGAUCACUUGAGGUCAGGAGUUUGAGACCAGCUUGGCCAACAUGGUGAAACCCCAUCUCUGCUAAAAAUACAAAGAUUAGCAGAGUGUGGUGGCAGGUGCCUGUAAUCCCAGCUACUUGGGAGGCUGAGGUACGAGAAUCCCUUGAACCUGAGAGGUGGAGGUUGCAGCGAGCUGAGAUUACACCAUUGGACUUCAGCCUGGGUGACAAAGCAAGACCCUGUCUCAAAAAAAAAAAAAAAAAAUCCAAGAAAAAAGUUUUUUUAAAUAUCACAGGAGAUAAGUUUUCAAUGUGUAUAAUUUGGAAGGGGUGAGGCCAGGCACUGGAGUCUCUGCUGUGGGGCACAAGGGUGAAUUACAGACCUGGUCAGAAUCACUGAGGGACAUUCAUUCACUCAGAUUCCUGGAUCUCCUUGUUUAGAGAGCAUGGCUCAUGAAAUCUAAAUCUAAAUGUAGUCUCUACCUGGAUGGCCCAAGGCAACUGGAUUAGCACCAUGGUUCACAGAAGCAAUCCUGCUUGAUUGAAAUCCUAGUUUUGCCAGUCACCAGCUUUGGACCCUGGACAAGAAAGGAGACCCCAGUCUUUUGUUUACAGGGAGCCAGGAUCAGUCAUCCUGCUUGCACUGGUCCUUCUGUCAGUAGAGCUUCCUAGGUGCUCAUGGCUCAUGAAUUUUUCAAGGAGAAAGCACUGGAAGUAAUUUAAAAAUAUCCAGUACCAAAGAUUGCUGUCUGGAUGAGUUAAUGCUUCAUUCCUUCCACCCUUACUGGAGCCUACUGGAGUUGGCUGUCUGCGACUUCCAGGGUGGAGAAGGACAGUGCCCUUGGAACACACUCAUUCAGCCUGAACUCUGCUCUUGAGUCCGUGUCAGACACUGAAACCUCAAAUGGCUUCUGGAGGGGUGGAGGCACCGAGAAAUAGCCUAUCCACAUGGAGAACCAGAAGGAAAGACAAAUGUUUCCGUCUCAGCCACCCAGCCUCCUGUUCUUGAUGUUUCCCUAACAUAUGCUAACAUAUGCUUUCUUCAAGAACUUCAAAAACAUGCUUUUAAGCAGCAAUGAAAAUAGGACCAUGAGUCCAAUUCAAGUCUAAGCUCCAUCGUUUCCCUCUAAUACCAUUACCUCAUGUACAGAGGAAAAUGUAAAUCUGAAAUAUGCUGGUGAUUAUAACCUUUCUUCCUGACAGACAUUGUAAUAUAAAUGCACAUAAAUUGAAUUUCUUCUUUAAAGAAAUUUGAAUACCUUUGGAGCAUUUUAGCAAAUCAUCUGCAGCCCUUGUGGCACCACAUCAAUGAUCUGUGGAAAAGUGAUCUCUCUCUAGCAGACUUCUGCAAUAGAAGGAUGGAGUGGGGCUGGGACAUGCCAAGAAAAAUAGAACGCACUUUAUUGAUAUUCAAAAUUUAUUUUAUUAACCUUGCACAAAAGACAGAGACACGGGGAGCUGGUGCUAUCAGGGAAGGAGCUUCACAUAUUAACUCCCUAUGUCCUGCUCAUGUCAUCUGCCUGCCAGAAUGGGGGAAAAGGAAGAAAGAAGGGUGAUUGCAGAUUUGCAGUUUUGCUUCAUUUUGACUCUGCUUGCUGGGGCUACAUGUGGAGGCCUUGUGUUAACUAUCGAAUCAGAAAUGGGAAUAAAACUGCGUGUUAGUGGGAGGCUGCAGUGCAUCAGAUAAGAGUUCUUGGGCCCAGAUGUCCCUUGAGGGCCAGGGAAAGAAUAUUGGAGCAAUCUUAUGCUCACCAGCCUGCAUUUGAAUGAAUAUACAAUGUGGGAGCUAAGAUGUUGUGUUAGUUGGAGCUCUUCAGGGAGACAAAAUUAAUAGUAUAUAAAUAUAUAUAGUAUAUACAUAUAUACUGUGUAUAUAUAAUAGUGUAUUAUAUAUACAGUAGUGUAUCUAUUGUGUAUACUGUGUAUAUAAAUAUAUAGUAGUGCAUAAAUUGUGUAUAUAUACAUAGUAUAUAUAAUAAUGUGUGUAUAAACACUAUUAUUAGUAUAUAUACUAUUAGUAUACAUUUAUAACACAUAUAUUAUAUACAGAUAUAUAAUAUAUACCAUAGUAAAUAUACACAAUUGUUAGUAUAUAGACA
Long non-coding RNA from Callithrix jacchus (white-tufted-ear marmoset), 2781 nucleotides. Lineage: Eukaryota; Metazoa; Chordata; Mammalia; Primates; Cebidae. The record is from Ensembl.